CAUGUUGAGUGAGGCAAAAAUGAAAACAAAUUGAAACGUUAUUUUUUCAACUUUCGAUUAAUUUGUUAGGAAAAUUUGGUGAGAGAGAGACAGGGAAAGAGGGAGUGGAAGAUGAUGAAUGAGAGAGAAAGUAAAAGUAAAAAGAUGAUAAUGAAAGUAAAAGGAUGAUGAGACUUGACCUUCUUAGAAAGACCAGGAAAAAACAACGAACUACAGAAAUCGGCUGAAUAAUGAGGCUCUCUUAAAAUAGCCCUUAUUUUUACUAUUGAACGGGCAAUCUAAUUUUACAAUAUUAAUUUGUUUGUUUACUUUAUUUGAACUUGAAAAAAAAUUAAAACAGUUAAUUUUGUCAACUGUAAUCUAAUUUUUAACCAUCAAAAUGCUUUUAUUCAUAAAAAAAUGAGUGAAUUUCUAGGAGCCAAGUAAAAAUUUAGCCUUUUAAAAUAUGGACUUUAAGCUUUUUCAAAGCUUAAGUAUAAUCUCUACCAGUUUCACUUUGAUCUUGAAUGUCUGCCUUAUCCUUAUUUUGGUGGAUCGUUUUUUGGUUAAUUUACUGUUCCAAAAUUUGUGUUUUAAAGGAUCAUCUAAGCAAUCUUAACUAAUCCAUGAGUAAACUGGAAAAUUGGGUUUGAAAAUAGACUUUGGCUGUGGACAACAUUACUCUUUCUGUCUUUGACCCUGUUGGCCCUACAUCAACUAGUCAGCUGAAUAAGAGUCAAAUUGAACAAAAAACCAAAUAACCAGAAACCGGGUUUUUUCUGUUUUUCAUUCAAUGGACACUGUGCAUAGUACAUCUGGUGAAUCUGGUAUUUCAACUAAAUCAGUUUUUUGGAUUUUUCCAUUCAGAGUCUAAUCGAGUUCUGGUUUGGUUUAUUUCCUAUAAAAUUAUCUACAUUUGCUUUUGAAUAUAUUUUCAUUCUAUCGACGAAUAGCCUAUUUCAAACUUCGAUCAUUUUGGAUUUUUGUCCAGUCCAGUUUGGCUUUGGUCAAAUGUAUAGUGAAUUUGGUUUUAUUGCUCUCAAAAUCAGUCUAACUGGCUAUCCUGGACGUAUGGUCGCCGGUUCAGUGCAAUUUCAAAGCCGGUUUAGUUUUCGCUUUUCAAAAAUAUUUUCUCAAUUAAGUCUACUUGGUGACAUCUUAUUUCAAGUGCAAACACUUUUGGUUGAAUUGGUUCUGGUUUAAUUGGUAUUUGCCUUUUAUUUUUACAAAUUAUAAUUUCCAACCAAAAUUGAUUCUUCAUUACAUCACAAUAAAAAUGUUUGAUGUUGAAAAGGUUGCUGUGUUUACCUCUCUACCUACAAAUAGCUGAAUAAUUGUUGUUUUUGUUGCUGUUGUUGUGGGUUCGGUGAUUACUGUUUGCUGGUUAAUCAAUGGAAAUUUAUUUAACCAAACAAAUUUCAUUUUUGUAGCUGUCAUUAUGCCUUUUAUUGUGGACAUUAUUAUUGUAUUAAUGUUGUUGUUUUGUUGACUAUUAACCAAAUUUCCUUUUUCAGUUGGACUGUGUCAAUAAUCUUGUUCAGCUGUGAAGGUUACGUUGGUUCAGUUUUUUGCUAUAAAUUUCUUGUUUUUUUUGUCGUUGGUCCUGUUCAAUACCUGUUCAACAAUUUGCAACUGGAAAGUGAAAGAAUUGUGGAGAAACCUUGAGAUUAAAUUAUCACAAUUGAAAAUAACUGAUCAACAAGAGGAAAAUUCCAAGGAUUUUGUAUCUUCUAUUGGUUAAUUUGUUAAUCAUAAAAAUUAUUUAAAUAGGAAACCUUGAGGAAUCUUGAAACUUUUCUUGAUGACAAGAUUGGUACAAAAGAGAACGAUUCAGCAAAGGAGAUUUUCUGUCCAUUUUUCUUCAAGUGAAAAUAUAUAUAACAAGUGA
Long non-coding RNA from Tetranychus urticae (two-spotted spider mite), 1867 nucleotides. RefSeq lists it as uncharacterized. Lineage: Eukaryota; Metazoa; Arthropoda; Arachnida; Trombidiformes; Tetranychidae. The record is from RefSeq and is a predicted model, not a curated record.